UCUUUCUGAAGUAUUUCUUUUUAAUUGCGUUUACACGUGCAGGACUGUGUGUGGGUCUGAAUUGUGAGAGCAGUGCUCCCAGAGGCUUCCAAUAGAACCACGUUUGCCAUCCAUGCUGCUGUACAGAUGUUUCUCUUUGUUGUGGUGAAAACAAGUGCUGGGGUUAAUGCGAAUGUUAAGAUAUUGGGCUGAGGGCUGGUGAGGUGAAGGACACUGAAAAAAUAAACAGGAAGGCUUGAUUCUGGGUAUGAGAUUGCCAACCUGAGCACAUUUGGGAAACAAAGCUGGUCUUGACAGGUUGGCGAGUCAUACACAGGCCCUGCUGUCUAGUUUUCCUUUCGUGGGCUCCUGCACUGUACUGGUUACUUGUGACAACUUGACACAGGCUAGAGUCAUUUGAGAAGAGGGAACCAACAUUGAGAAAAUGCUUCAAAACCG
This 438-nucleotide long non-coding RNA is filed under the name Mus musculus (house mouse). RNAcentral describes it as "predicted gene, 50051". Lineage: Eukaryota; Metazoa; Chordata; Mammalia; Rodentia; Muridae. The record is from RNAcentral.